UGCAGCGAUGCCGCGUGAGUGAAGAAGGCCCUUGGGUUGUAAAGCUCUUUCGUCGGGGAAGAAAAUGACUGUACCCGAAUAAGAAGGUCCGGCUAACUUCGUGCCAGCAGCCGCGGUAAUACGAAGGGACCUAGCGUAGUUCGGAAUUACUGGGCUUAAAGAGUUCGUACGUGGUUAAAAAAGUUGGUGGUGAAAUCCCAGAGCUUAACUCUGGAACUGCCAUCAAAACUUUUUACCUACAGUAUGAUAGACGAAACCCCAAUUUCUACUGUAGAGGUGAAACUCCCUACAUAUUAGAAAGAAUACCAAUUGCGAAGGCAGCUUUCUGGAUCAUUACUGACACUGAGGAACGAAAGCAUGGGUAGCGAAGAGGAUUAGAUACCCUCGUAGUCCAUGCCGUAAACGAUGUGUGUUAGACGUUGGAAAUUUAU
This 431-nucleotide ribosomal RNA is filed under the name uncultured Pelagibacterales bacterium. Its description in RNAcentral is "bacterial SSU rRNA". It matches the Rfam family "Bacterial small subunit ribosomal RNA", at positions 387 to 834 of the family's 1533-position model. The record is from RNAcentral. Lineage: Bacteria; Pseudomonadati; Pseudomonadota; Alphaproteobacteria; Candidatus Pelagibacterales.